RNAcentral lists this ribosomal RNA (497 nucleotides) under uncultured bacterium. RNAcentral describes it as "partial 16S ribosomal RNA". It matches the Rfam family "Bacterial small subunit ribosomal RNA", at positions 28 to 507 of the family's 1533-position model. The record is from RNAcentral.
GACGAACGCUGGCGGCGUGCCUAAUACAUGCAAGUCGAGCGAACGGACGAGAAGCUUGUUUCUCUGAUGUUAGCGGCGGACGGGUGAGUAACACGUGGAUAACCUACCUAUAAGACUGGGAUAACUACGGGAAACUGUAGCUAAGACCGGAUAAUAUUUUGCACCGCAUGGUUCAAAAGCGAAAGACGGUCUUGCUGUCACUUAUAGAUGGAUCCGCGCUGCAUUAGCUAGUUGGUAAGGUAACGGCUUAACAAGGCAACGAUGCAUAGCCGACCUGAGAGGGUGAUCGGCCGCACGAGAGCGGAGACGCGGUCCAGACUCCUGAGGGAGGCAGCAGCAGGGAAUCUUCCGCAGUGGGCGGAAGCCGGGCGGAGGAAAGCGGCGUAAGUGAUGAAGAUCUUCGGAGCGUGAAGCUCUAUUAUUAGGGGAGAACAUAUGUGUAAGUAACUGUGCACAUAUUGACGGUACCUAAUCAAAAAGCCACGGCUAACUACGUG